UUUCCGUAGGUGAACCUGCGGAAGGAUCAUUAUUGUAUAACCGAGGUGCGAGGGCUGUCGCUGACCCGAAAGGUCGUGCACGCCCGAGUGCCCUCACACACAUCCAUCUCACCCCUAUGUGCACCACCGCGUGGGUCCCCCUUUGGCUUGUUCGGAGGGGGGCUUACGUUUUCACACAAACUUUGUAUGCAGUAUAGAAUGUAUUUUUUGUUUUUGCGAUCACGCAAUCAAUACGACUUUCAACAACGGAUCUCUUGGCUCUC
RNAcentral lists this unclassified non-coding RNA (263 nucleotides) under plant metagenome. RNAcentral describes it as "partial contains small subunit ribosomal RNA, internal transcribed spacer 1, and 5.8S ribosomal RNA". The record is from RNAcentral.